This 129-nucleotide small nucleolar RNA is filed under the name Castor canadensis (American beaver). RNAcentral describes it as "Small nucleolar RNA SNORA27 (ENSCCNG00000008501.1)". It matches the Rfam family "Small nucleolar RNA SNORA27". Rfam says of the family: ACA27 is a member of the H/ACA class of snoRNA that guide the sites of modification of uridines to pseudouridines. Lineage: Eukaryota; Metazoa; Chordata; Mammalia; Rodentia; Castoridae. The record is from Rfam by way of RNAcentral.
GUAUCCCCUUUCACUUUGCCAAUUGGACUUAUGUCUUUGUUGGUCAUUCAAGUGGGGCAAAGGAAAUCUCCAUUUAAAACUCAAGCAAAAACUGAGUGUUUGUCCUGCAACCUGUCAUGGAAAAUAAAU